RNAcentral lists this long non-coding RNA (1110 nucleotides) under Malus domestica (apple). RNAcentral describes it as "long non-coding RNA (MDOM_LNC005415)". The record is from RNAcentral. Lineage: Eukaryota; Viridiplantae; Streptophyta; Magnoliopsida; Rosales; Rosaceae.
GUACGUCAUCCAGGUUGAAAAACCUCACCCUAUGGGCUCAUCUGGGAAAGGGAAGGGCAAAAGGAAGAGUACUUAUCAACAACUUGUCGUGCAAGCUAAGACUGAUGCAAACGAAAAUGACAAAGUAGUUGCUUUAGGAGGGGGGAGAGCGGGUGAUGCAUCGACAUCAUCAGAACAGAGAUGGCCGUGUUGAAGCAGUAUAUAGUAGUGGCAGUGCACCUUCACUUGAUAAAGCGAUGAGGGCUGUAUCAGCUAACCCCUAUUGUUAUGAACAUAGCGAUCUGUGGUGGUAUGCAAAAGGGUUAUUGAAAGCUAACCCUCAGAAGAGAGCAACGCUACUGAAGGUGGGGACACGUGAGGUUAGUUGGCUACGAAGUCACAUGUCCGAGGAUUAAGUUGGCCUUGGAUUGGACCGGAUAGGAUGCGCUUAAAAUUUGAUACUCAUUAUAUCUAAAUAGGCCGUCAGAUGAAUCUGAGAUUCCCAACCUCGUGCUAGAUACUUUUGAAAAACUCUACAGGUAGUUAUUUUCUAAAUAACUUCACAGUUGCAUGCUUCUGCUGCAUAAUUGCGAGUGCAGUCCGAUACUGGUGGCUGCCGGCUGAGGUUUUUGUUUUUUUUUUUUAAUGGUUCAAGUGAAGUUUCCUCUGAAUGCGAUCUGCCUUUGUUGAUUUUUUUUUUUUUUUUUUUUUUUUCAUCACUGGAAGGCACGUCAUCCACCCUAUGGGCUCAUCUGGGAAAGGGAAGGGAAAAAGGAAGAGCACUUAUCAGCAACUUGUCGUGCAAGCUAAUACUGAUGCAAACGAAAAUGACAAAGUAGUUGCUUUAGGAGGGGGGAGAGUGGGUGAUGCAUCGACAUCAUCAGAACAGAGUGAUGGCCCUGUUGAAGCAGUAUAUAGUAGUGGCAGUGCACCUUCCCUUGAUGAAGCGAUGAGGGCUGUAUCAGCUAACCCCUAUUGUUAUGAACAUGGCGAUCUGUGGUGGUAUGCAAAAGGGGUAUUAAAAGCUAACCCUGGGAAGAGAGCAACGCUACUGAAGGUGGGGACACGUAAGGUUAGUUGGCUACGAAGUCAAAUGUCUGAGGAUUAAGUUGGCCUUGGAUUGGACCGGAU